This is a non-coding RNA of Loxodonta africana (African savanna elephant), 218 nucleotides long. The record is from Rfam. Lineage: Eukaryota; Metazoa; Chordata; Mammalia; Proboscidea; Elephantidae.
GAGUGUGUUGCCCCUCUCUUUACUAUUCCUUGUUUGUCCCUUUCAAAGCUGGAUGCUUAGUAAAAGUGGAAGCACUUUCAGGGUAAGGUUAUCAUCUAUCCAGGGGUCUGUGGGUAGCCCUAGUGGCUUGCUAGAACCCCCAAACAAGUUCUCAAGAAUCACUUAUAGAAGAAAGUAGGGUUGCCAAGAUUAAGCUAAAACAUUUAGUUUUGCUUACU